GACAUUCCCAAACUUGUGGGUGGAAGAGAGUUUGGGCUUGAAGAAGGUUUUUUGGUGCACCACAUAUAUUGUAGAAAAAUAUAACUAUUGUAACGAAUAUCGAGGCCUAACUCAUCCCCACAAAACCGGCUUGUAAGGUGAUGAUUGUCUCCUCUUUAUAAACUCUUAUCAAGAAUCCUAUCUAUCCGAUGCGGGACUAAAUCCCACCCGAGUGUUGGCUGCUAACAACUAUCACGCCAUAUGAUGUUAGCUUUGUAGAGCGGUUGUGACUUGUGACAUCUUAUCAAAGAAUCAUUCCUCUACCUGUAAUUGUGAGCGUUGAACAGGGAGAUGAUAAGAAACUAUACUUCAAUAGGUCGGAAUCCUAGUU
This 370-nucleotide long non-coding RNA is filed under the name Medicago truncatula (barrel medic). RNAcentral describes it as "long non-coding RNA (MTRU_LNC008730)". Lineage: Eukaryota; Viridiplantae; Streptophyta; Magnoliopsida; Fabales; Fabaceae. The record is from RNAcentral.